UUGCAGUUAAAAAGCUCGUAGUUGGAUUUCUUGGGUAGCAAGCGGGUCGGCACAAAGUGUCUGUACUAGCUUUGCUAUUCAAUCCUCGUAACAAGGUAUCGGUGAGUUAACUCCAUUCGGUGCUGAGUUGCGUCAUUUACUGUGAACAAACUAGAGUGUUUAAAGCAGGCAAAUGCUGUGAAUACAUUAGCAUGGAAUAAUAAGAUAGGACCUAGAGUCUAUUUUGUUGGUUGCGAUUUUAGGUAAUGAUUAAUAGGGAUAGUUGGGGGUAUUCAUAUUCAAUUGUCAGAGGUGAAAUUCUUGGAUUUAUGGAAGAUGAACAACUGCGAAAGCAUUUACCAAGGAUGUUUUCAUUAAUCAAGAACGAAAGUUAGGGGAUC
Molecule: ribosomal RNA, 380 nt
Filed under: uncultured marine eukaryote
Lineage: Eukaryota
Description: bacterial SSU rRNA
Rfam family: Eukaryotic small subunit ribosomal RNA
Source: RNAcentral